Molecule: ribosomal RNA, 228 nt
Filed under: uncultured bacterium
Lineage: Bacteria
Description: partial 16S ribosomal RNA
Rfam family: Bacterial small subunit ribosomal RNA
Source: RNAcentral
GUAAGUCAACCUAACCUUUUCCCGUUCCCGGGGAGUAACUAACCGAAAGGUUAAGCUAAUACCUGAUACGCUCAUCGAGCGGCAUCGCUUGAUGAUGAAAGCAGUAAUGCGCGGAUUGAGGGGGCUGCGGCCCAUUAGCUAGUUGGUGAGGUAACGGCCCACCAAGGCUUCGAUGGGUAGCUGGUCUGAGAGGACGACCAGCCACACUGGGACUGAGACACGGCCCAG